Aethina tumida (small hive beetle) is the source of this 375-nucleotide long non-coding RNA. RefSeq lists it as uncharacterized. The record is from RefSeq and is a predicted model, not a curated record. The transcript has 3 exons. NCBI's taxonomy places the organism in Eukaryota, Metazoa, Arthropoda, Insecta, Coleoptera, Nitidulidae.
GGUGUGGUGGUCCGCGGCACCAUACCCUCCAAGUUAUUUCUGUAGUGCCGUUUAGUUUAAUGUAAUGACUCGUGGGUUCAAUCAGUGUUGUGAUUAGUGCCCUAUUGGAUAUACUGGAUACAACCAUGAAUUGCAAGCAUUGAGAAAAGAUUUUUUGUUCUUUUCUUCGUUGAUUGUCAAAACCUGCUGACACCUGUACCAUGAUGACGCAACCAACUAUUGGAAUAACGAUAAGGCAACAGUUAGGUCCAGAACGAGACUAGUUAACCUGGCAAUUGGCAACGCAAAGUAAGUUUUUGAACAUAUUGAAUUUAAUUCCAAAUCUUCUUGCAUUAUGAUCUUUUGAUUUAAAUAUAAAUAUAUUUUUGAAAGAUA